RNAcentral lists this ribosomal RNA (507 nucleotides) under uncultured bacterium. RNAcentral's name for it is "bacterial SSU rRNA". It matches the Rfam family "Bacterial small subunit ribosomal RNA", at positions 17 to 518 of the family's 1533-position model. The record is from RNAcentral.
UUCUGGCUCAGGAUGAACGCUAGCUACAGGCUAACACAUGCAAGUCGAGGGGCAGCAUGGGCUAGCUGCUAAGCCGAUGGCGACCGGCGCACGGGUGAGUAACACGUAUCCAACCUGCCGAUUACUCCGGUACAGCCUUUCGAAAGAAAGAUUAAUCCCGGAUGGCAUGGCGAUUCCGCAUGGUUCUCCAUAAAGGUUUUUCCGGUAAUCGAUGGGGAUGCGUUCCAUUAGGCAGUUGGCGGGGUAACGGCCCACCAAACCUACGAUGGAUAGGGGUUCUGAGAGGAAGGUCCCCCACAUUGGAACUGAGACACGGUCCAAACUCCUACGGGAGGCAGCAGUGAGGAAUAUUGGUCAAUGGGCGGAAGCCUGAACCAGCCAAGUAGCGUGAAGGAUGACUGCCCUAUGGGUUGUAAACUUCUUUUAUAAGGGAAUAAUUGCGGGUACGCGUACCUGUUUGCAUGUACCUUAUGAAUAAGGAUCGGCUAACUCCGUGCCAGCAGCGGC